ACAUACGACCAUGGGGUGUGGAAAACAGGGCUUCCCGUCCGCUCAGCCGUACUUAAGCCACACGCCGGUGAGUUAGUAGUUGGGUGGGUGACCACCAGCGAAUCCUCACUGUUGUAUGUU
This is a ribosomal RNA of Penicillium chrysogenum, 120 nucleotides long. NCBI's taxonomy places the organism in Eukaryota, Fungi, Ascomycota, Eurotiomycetes, Eurotiales, Aspergillaceae. The record is from Rfam.